Molecule: small RNA, 771 nt
Filed under: Pan troglodytes (chimpanzee)
Lineage: Eukaryota; Metazoa; Chordata; Mammalia; Primates; Hominidae
Description: processed transcript
Source: RNAcentral
GCGGGUGUCAGGGCUAUGAGUGCUUUUAAGGAAGGUCUCCAUAGAAGGUUCCCCCAGCAAAGCAGGGAGGGGUACUCCCCGAGAGGAGUCGAGGUGCCGGAGCCUGCUGCCUCGCCGACGCUGGGAGGAGCCCCGUGUCCCGCCGCGCUUGCCAAGGGUUGGCUGCGCGUGCGGCGGGAGUAGAGGCGCCUUGCGCACCAGGAAGUGACUGUUAACCCGCCGCAGCAAACCAGGCCAUCCGCUGGCCUUUUAGUUUGCCGCCUCAGGUUUGUAAGAGGAUUUAUUGGUUACGAAGGAAGGUGGAUUUCAGUGUGUUCUUUGGAUGGCAGGCCUUAAGAGAAGAGUCCCACUGCACAGCCUCAGAUACUUCAUCUCCAUGGCUGGCUGAUGUUGUGACACCACUCUGGAGGUUGAGCUAUGAAGAACAGCUCAAGGUGAAAUUUGCAGCUCAGAAGAAAAUUUUACAAAGACUAGAGUCUUACAUCCAAAUGCUCAAUGGAGUCAGUGUGACAACGGCUGUACCCAAAUCUGAGAGGCUCUCUUGUCUUCUCCAUCCUAUUAUACCCUCUCCUGUCAUCAAUGGUUACCGAAAUAAGUCCACCUUCUCUGUGAACCGAGGUCCAGAUGGCAAUCCAAAGACUGUGGGGUUCUACCUGGGAACUUGGAGAGAUGGGAACGUUGUCUGUGUGCAGUCUAAUCAUCUGAAAAACAUCCCUGAGAAACACAGUCAAGUGGCGCAGUACUAUGAAGUAUUCCUUCGACAGUCUCCAU